CUGGGAUAUGACAGGAAGCGUUUUUAUAUUGCAGACGUAAACAUCAAGCCAGAUUUGAAAGCAUAGAAUUGAAGCGAGUAAGAUGUCUGGUAUUCAUCUCCGAGUGGCAGUCGAAGAGUGGGAACCAUGGGUUUGGGUGAAAGAGAGCGAAGAUGGAAAUGUUACAAUUUGGGGACCAAUGGCUGACGUUCUUAAUAUACUU
Long non-coding RNA from Limulus polyphemus (Atlantic horseshoe crab), 202 nucleotides. RefSeq lists it as uncharacterized. NCBI's taxonomy places the organism in Eukaryota, Metazoa, Arthropoda, Merostomata, Xiphosura, Limulidae. The transcript is spliced from 3 exons. The record is from RefSeq and is a predicted model, not a curated record.